RNAcentral lists this ribosomal RNA (497 nucleotides) under uncultured bacterium. Its description in RNAcentral is "partial 16S ribosomal RNA". It matches the Rfam family "Bacterial small subunit ribosomal RNA", at positions 28 to 507 of the family's 1533-position model. The record is from RNAcentral.
GAUGAACGCUGGCUGCGUGCCUAAUACAUGCAAGUCGAGCGAACAGACGAGGAUCUUUCUCAUCUGACGUUAGCGGCGGACGGGUGAGUAACACGUGGAUAACCUACCUAUAAGACUGGGAUAACUUCGGGAAACCGGAGCUAAUACCGGAUAAUAUAUUGCACCGCAUGGUUCACUAGUGAAAGACGGUUUUGCUGUCACUUAUAGAUGGAUCCGCGCCGCAUUAGAUAGUUGGUAAGGUAACGGCUUACCAAGGCAACGAUGCGUAGCCGACCUGAGAGGAGGAUAAGCCACACUGGACCUGAGCCGCGGUCCAGACUCCUACGGGAGGCAACGGUGGGGAAUCUUCCGCAAUGGGCGAAGGCCUGACGGAGCAACGCCGCGUGGGUGAUGAAGGCCUUCGGAUAGGAAAACUCUGUUAUUAGGGAAGAACAAAUGUGUAAGUAACGAGGCACUUCUUGACGGUACCUAAUCAGAAAGCCACGGCUAACUACGUG